AAUGAACGCUGGCGGCGUGCCUAACACAUGCAAGUCGGAUGUGCCCGCAAGGGUGCAUGGCAGACGGGUGAGUAACGCGUGGGGAAUCUACCUUUUAGUGGGGAAUAACGCUCCGAAAGGAGUGGUAAUACCGCAUGUGACCAUCGGCUGGGAUGCUGAUGGUGAAACCCUGGGACCUUCGGGCCAGGGGCUAGAAGAGGAUCCUGCGUCUGAUUAGCUAGUUGGCGGGGUAACGGCCCACCAAGGCGACGAUCAGUAGCCGGCCUGAGAGGGUGAUCGGCCACACUGGAACUGAGACACGGUCCAGACUCCUACGGGAGGCAGCAGUGGGGAAUUUUGCGCAAUGGACGAAAGUCUGACGCAGCAACGCCGCGUGGGUGAUGAAGGUCUUCGGAUUGUAAAACCCUGUCGCCAGGGACGAAGGGUGGGGCGUGAAUAGCGUCCUACUUUGACGGUACCUGGAAAGGAAGCCCCGGCUAACUCUGUGCCAGCAGCCGC
Molecule: ribosomal RNA, 498 nt
Filed under: uncultured bacterium
Lineage: Bacteria
Description: bacterial SSU rRNA
Rfam family: Bacterial small subunit ribosomal RNA
Source: RNAcentral